UAGCUGGCGGAAGAGGACACACCUAUGAGGGAGGCGCGGGCGAUCAUUCUGCGCUUCCGGUUUGAGAACUUGAACGCACCGUGAGGCGAACGCCCAGAAGGAGGAACCCAGUAGGAUCAGGAAGUCUGAGGGAGGGAGAGCAUGAUGGGUUUGAUCUGGGGCAUACUGGGUGUGGGAUGGUUCGGGGACAUCCGAGUAGAAUGGCCUGGGAUCAUUUGGCCAUUUGGAUCCAGAGCUCUGGAGAGAGACCUCCCGGAGAUACAAAUGGGGUGUUAUCAGUGUCAGGGUGGGAGUGGGCGUCAUGGCAAGGGGGCAGCCACCUCGGAAGGAAGCACAGGACUGUAGGGAGCUCAGCUUUGAAGGGUCAGGCACAGGUAGGAGAUCUCUAGAAGGGAGGAGACCGAGAAGUCCUGUUAAUAUCCCGGAGGGAAUUCUGUCACAUCCAUCCUUGUCUCAGUCAUGGAAACGCCCUCUCGUGGGGGGCUUCUCACAACCCCCGGGGCUGCCGGGCUGGCUCUGAAGAAUGACCUUAGACCACCGUUUCUCAAACCAGCGGCUGCAGACACGACUUCCCUGUUCUGAACAUUUCAUAGGAACGGAACCACACAAUAUGUAAUUUACUGUCAUUUUUAAGGAUUUCAUCAUCCCAUCUGAGAACUUCAGUCUUCACUCUGUGGGGAGGAUACAGGCAUUAAGCAACAGUGCUGGGUGCUUUUCUGUGAUCUCAUCUAGUUCUUUCCACCUCUCUGGGAAGGCAGCCUUAUCAACCUUAUUUUACUGAGGAGAGAGCUGAGGUUAAAGGGAUUAACUGCCUUGCCAAAGGCCCUGAGACCGGGAGCAGUAACGCCAGAUGGGCAUUGGGCUCUGUCUGCCUGCAAACAUUCACGGCGUUGCUAAGUGCUGCAGCAGGGACGGCGUGGGAGAGAGAACACAGGCAACCCACAGCAGCCUGCGUGCGUGGGCUCUCCUCCACAGAGUCCAAUGGAAGCUGCUGGACCAGAGCAGCACGAGGAUGAUUUCAGCAACAACAGGAUGUUUCCCCAUGGGCUGGAGUGAACUUCCCUCCUUUAACUGCUUCUCCCUGAUGGGGAGGGAGUGUGGCAGGAAUCUGAGCCCGCAGGAACCCCGGUGCCUUGGGAAUGUUCCAGACCAGAUGGCUCAGGCUGUGGUCACCCCAAGCCCUGGCCCUGGCCUCCGCCUCGGCUGCCAGGCCCUGGGACACAGCUAGACACCCCGUCUGCAGGCUCCAGCUUGGUGGAGCUUUGGAAUCCGAGCUCUGCUACACCCACCGCAGGGAACUUAUCAUCUCAUUAUAAAGGAUAAGGCAUAUUUUUUUCAGUAUGGUUAUAUGUGGUAAUGAAGCAUGCAGAAAACCACACAAGAUAGAUGGCAGCUUUCACUAGUGAAGCCGAAAACUUGGUUAACUUAAUAGUCUAUUUAUUACAAUCACUCUCUGAGCUUACGGCACCUGAUUAAUAUCUCCCAUCUCCCCCCCGCCAACCCCCGCCAUGAUGUACAAUUAAAAAACUAGUAAUAUGGGAUGGCACAGACUGACUCCAGCACAGACGGGCACAGAUUCGGAGGUCGAGAGAGUAAGUGGAGAAGGGCGUAUCGUCCUGGGUCGGCAUGGUAGAGUCAGAUCCCCUGCAGCUCCACUGAGAGCUGCUUCUAAGGAAGUAAAUGAACUUGAGCAGAAAAGGACCCUGAUGCCCUUCCCCGGGUCUUACCCAUUCCUAUGUUUCUGUCAGGAGAGUGGCAAAACCUGCACGGAGAGGGCCUAUCAGUGGAGGUGGCUGUGCGCCCUUGAAUCGCUUACUACGACAAGCUGUGACGCAGAAUGAGGUGAUCCUAAUGGUAGAGCUACUCAGAAGCCACUCCCAGCUUCCUGUUCCCUAUAAGUUCUGACCCAUGAGAUAGAAGAAGAAAUCUGCUAAGGGACUUCUAGGGAACAGUUUGCUUUCUUAAAAAAUGGAAAGGCUUGUUGUGAGAAUUUGCUGGAGCUUCUCCUUCCUCCUUCUUCCUGCACUGAAUGUGGAUGUGAUGCUUGGAACUUGGGCAGCCAUCUUGGCACUGCAAAGCUAAUAAUAUUGGAUCAGUAUUCCUGAGGAAUCUGCCUUUCAGAAUCCUGGGUCCUGAGAGACAAGAAGUACAUGGCAAGCAAAUCAAAUAUACCUUAAAAAAAAAUGAAAUCAUGUAACAGAAAGAUUUUUCAGAAGGUUUUUUUUUUUUUGAUUACACAUGAGAUUUCAAACGUUCCACAACCUAGCAGGAAGAAAGAAAAUAUUAGUUUGGGAAUCAGGAGAUCAGAUGUCGAGAUUGGACUAAAUCUUCAUAGUCAUUUCUGGAUUUAAAGCUCUGUGUUAUCUAUUACUUGAUGCAAAGCCAUCAACUAGUCCUCCCGCCCCUAACCACUGAAAAAGUCAUCUAUAGGACCUGUGUGCAAAGAAGAGUAGAUGUCCUAAAACUAGCGUGGAGUGUGUGUCCACUUCCGUGCCCAGGCCGGUGGGUCCUCAGGGCUCACGAAAGUCAUGUAUGCCCAUUCCUGAAGCCUUUCUGGAAGGUGUUCCCUCCUCCCCAGGCCCAUGGUCACUUUCUCUUCUUUCCAGCCUGGAAGGAGUGACAAUGAGAGGAACUGUAUCCUCUCUGAAUGACACUGUCCUCAUCUGUCAACUGUGAUCAUAAUAUUGUCUCCCAGGGCUGCCCCGAGAAUGAAAUGAGAGGACAUAAGGUCUCUUUUCCAGAGAUGAACAAAGAUCUCGGAGUGGUGAGCUCCUUGGUCAGCCUUUUCAGAGGGGACAGGAAAUCUGGUCUAUUAAUUCAGCCUACGAUUGCUGUGAAGUCACUAUGUUACCCUUUAGGGGUAUUGGUAUUUUAAGAAAAUACUGCAGGAGGGAUUAAUGUUUAAGACUAUAAAGAAAAAAAGAACUCCUGAUAGAAUUUCAGAUACCUUUCUAGGAGGUAUUUUUGGAGCUAAGAAUCCACAUCAAGCCCUUCCGGCUGUAUGGUAGGGGUACUGUGAGGCAGAUUUUCUGGCCUCCCCAAACGGGGACAGAUGGUGGUGACAAGAGUUCCCAGAGCUACUUUCAAGGGCAUAAACUGGAUCUGGGAGGUAGAAAUGGCAGCAUGGGAAUGUUUGACCUGGAUGAAGUUUUGUGAGAAAGUGCAACAGAACACCUGACACCAGGAGGGUCUCCUGGGCCUCACUAGGAGCUGUGGGUUUGGAGUGUCCAGUGCCUUUGACUUAGGGCAUCUCUGACUUUGGAGGUCACAGGACCUCUCAAGCCUCCGCGUCUGCUCUGCAGAAUGGGAAGCACAAGGGUACCUCUCGUACAGAGGGGCUGGGAAGUCGACGUGUGAUUCUCUUAGCCCCUUGCCUGAUACACAGUCAGUGUUCAAACGUUAGUGAUUAGCUAGGGUGUCAGCUGCGGAGCACAGGGACCCCAGAGACCUCAGGAAUGGGGAGCUAAAAGCACGGGAGCCGAAAAUAAGUAUGCUGAUAUCAGCCCCUUUUCCAUUUUGUCUGCGAGCAGGAAAGUAGCCAAUUAGGCCCCAUUCAGCGCGACGGGCAGCCUCCUGUCUCUCAGGAGGUAAACUUGCUUACAGAGUAGAAACAAGAUGUAUUCUUGAAACACAGGCCGGGCCCCAGAGAAGCGGGUCUGUCAUCAGUCUGUCGGGGGCGAGAGGUAAUUCCUGCCUGGCCCCUUGCAGGCGUUGUGGGGGAUUGUGGCCUCCAGGGUCCUUCCAGGGUCCUGGGAACUAGAGGCGGGGGUCUGGCUCUGGGAAUUUCUGAAGGCGAUCAAUGGGGAAACAACUUACUCACUGACAGCCCGAGGCUGAGCUGAACCUCAUGCCUGGUCCGUGGGCCACCCACAUCAGGCAGGGCUGCUCAGAGCCUGGGAACAGGACAUUCACUGUGCAGGUCGGAGGGGAGGGAGAGGGGUGUGGUGAGGAGGAAAGAGCCAUGACUGGAGUCACUGAUGUGCCCUCUGUGCCCGCCUCUGUCACCGGCCAGUGGGGGGAUCCCCGAGCUUCAGGACCUGUUUCCUCUGCUCUAAAAGGCAGAAAGGGAUUAGAUCUGCUUUUUACACAGUAGAACUCUUUCCACAAAUUAGAUCUAAACAAAGAACUGUUAUAUAAAGCAGUGAAAGCAAGACGUACUGGUUACACCAGCUCCCACCGCCCUCCCCCGCCGCAGUGGUUCUAAGGCACUUCCAAUGAAACCUCAGGGCUCUGAGGAAUAUCAGGGAAACCAUCAGUGUAAAUUGUAUCCAUUAUUCUAUGACUUCAUCUGGCUAGUUGUGUCCCUUCAUUAUUUUGAUGAAUAUCCUUGUAAGAAAAUAGAAAAAAAAUGUAUUGGUCUCUGCCCACAGUUCCUGGCACAGGAACUCCCCAGAGCUCCUGAAACCCUCCUAACUUCAUAAGUGAUAAGAGUGUCCUUUGUUCUAAUGAGGUGACUCUGGGUGGGCUUCUGGAUGGAAGCUAAUCACUGGAAGACUGGAAUUUUCAGCCUUGCCCCCCAUUCUCUAAAGAAGAGAGAAGAGAGAAAGAUUGGAGUUGAUGGUUUGCCAUGCGUACGUGAUGGAGCCCCAGUAGAAUCCCAAUGGCUUGGGGUUUGGAGAGCAUCCAGGUUGGUGAACAUGUCCAUCCCAGGAAGCUGAUGCACCCCAACUCCACAGGCAAAGAAGCUCCUGUGUUUGGGACCCUCCCAGACCUUGCCCUUUUCCCUGUUCCUCUAGCCUUCAUCUGUAUCCUUUAUCGCAGCCAUUAAAAAAUGGGCAAACACGAGUAAGCAUUUUCCUGAGUUCUUUGAGCCACUCAAGCAAAUUAACAGAACCCAAGGAGGGGGUCGUGGGGACCUCUGAUUUGUAGCCAAGUCAGACAGAGCUUGGGGGGUCACCUGGGGACCUGCUACUUGUGAUUGGUGUCUUGAAGUGGGGGCAGACUCACGGGACCCAGGCCUUAACCUGUGGAAUCUGAAGCUGUCUCCAGGUAGACAGUGUCAGAAUCGAAUUGAAGUAUAGGAAAUCCCCUCCACCCCACACGUUGGAAUUGGGUUUAGAACCCUCGAAUCCACGCAAGUCUCACUUGACUUGCAAGAAGGUCAAAUACAAAAUACUUAUUUUACAAUGAAAUUCAUUCCUUUGGGUAGGUCUCCUCUUUUGUUUACAUUUUCCAAGCAGGCAUUUAGGAUGCCAGAGUGACUUAUAGUUAUGCUGGUAGUUACUGAAGCUUGUAAAGGCCACCUAAUCACUUGGAUUUGAUAUUCAUUAGUCAUUUACACCUAUGAGGAAUGGAAAGCUCUAGGAGGUUAUGUGUGUGUGUGUGAGUGUGUAUGUGUGUGGUGUAGGUGCUGGGUCCAGGGCGAAUGGGCCUUUGGGAAGAUGGAGAAGCUGCUGGUCCAGGUCACUAAGGAUCCUCACUCAGUAGGACGGGUUUCUUUGCCUUUUAUCUUACCAUCCAUUCCCCUGCCUCAUUUCCUUUCCUCCUUUCUCCUUUCUUCCAAUUUUGAAACAAUAUUAGAUCCAGCUUCCCUGCAGAUUUUGGGAUGGUAAGAGAUGUUGGAGGCGAUGCAAAGACAAAGGGCACAGCACAUCUCUUCAAGGAGCUCCCAGCCUGCUGGGGGAACAGGAUCUGCAAGCAAGUCCAGUGCAGUGAGGACAGCAAGGUGGCCACAGAGGGCCCUGAGAGCAGAGGAAGGAGCGUCCAGCUAGGCACAGGGGAGUGAAGGACAGGGUGGUGGGCACACACCCAAACACAGGACCUCUCUCUCAAACCCAACAUGGUAUGGAUUUUGUGCAGCAGUUAUCAAAGGAUAUCUGCAGGGAGAAACUUCAUGGGAAGGAGUUGGGGUGGCCACCUUGUCAGAGAAAGGAUCUCCCAGGCAUCGCCACAUUCUACCUUCACGCAAACCGAUGAGACAUGUUCACGAAGGGGUCUGCCCCCCGCCAUGCAUAAUAAUAGCAACAAUAAUGAGUAAUCUCUACUUAAUGAGAUUAAAUUAAUAAUUAUUUUAAUUAUGACAUGUUUUCCUCCUCUCUUCCCCAUGCCUAAGCAGACUUGGUCUUUCUCAGGAUUACAGUCAUAAUGGUAACAGAUAAACCUUAAUUAAAACAUUCUAUGGGGUUAUGGACAUUGGGGAGGGUAUGU
Mustela erminea (ermine) is the source of this 6147-nucleotide long non-coding RNA. RefSeq lists it as uncharacterized. Lineage: Eukaryota; Metazoa; Chordata; Mammalia; Carnivora; Mustelidae. The record is from RefSeq and is a predicted model, not a curated record. The transcript has 3 exons.